UAGUGACAAUUUCUCCACCGA
This 21-nucleotide non-coding RNA is filed under the name Caenorhabditis elegans. The record is from RNAcentral. Lineage: Eukaryota; Metazoa; Nematoda; Chromadorea; Rhabditida; Rhabditidae.